AUCUAGAAUUAAGACACUGAGUGGCAAGAUAGACACAAAUAUGUCCAUAGAAAUAUGGAAGGUUUUAAGCCAGAAAAUCCUUAAAUGAAGGUCUGUAGCAGUAUCUCUCCAGAUAUUUAAAAAUACAAUGAUCACCAAAAUAUGCUAUAAAUGUUUAAAAUGGACUCCUAUCGAAAGUUCAGAGGUCAAAGAUGAUGUUGUUUAUGGUACUCCUAGAAAUUGAUUCUUCUUUAUUUUUUCUUUUUGUUAAGAGUUUAAUUGCCACUAGAAUUAUUUUCAAGUUAAGAAGAUAAGAGGAUUGACUUUUUAAACUUCAAAAUGAACUUCCCUGCUAUGACUGACUAUAUUCCCCAGUAUGGAGAAUUAUUUCCACGGGGAGCAGAGCUGAUUUUCCUGGCUCUGGGCCUCAUGGUUUCACAACUACCUUUGUAAUUUCUCUUGGAGCUUUUCAUUACAGAAGUAAGGUUGCCUCUGCUCAGCUGUAUUCUUCUUUGAGCUAGGAUUGGACUGGCCAUGUGACACAAUUCUGAUCAAUGAGAUGUAGGUGGAAUUCUGUCAGUUACUUUGCCUUAUGUGGAUAUAUAGGAUAAAGCA
Molecule: long non-coding RNA, 594 nt
Filed under: Pongo abelii (Sumatran orangutan)
Lineage: Eukaryota; Metazoa; Chordata; Mammalia; Primates; Hominidae
Description: lincRNA
Source: RNAcentral